Non-coding RNA from Salvia hispanica, 394 nucleotides. The record is from RefSeq and is a predicted model, not a curated record. Lineage: Eukaryota; Viridiplantae; Streptophyta; Magnoliopsida; Lamiales; Lamiaceae.
CGAACCACCACCUCGCCGCCGGGCCGCUGCUGCCGUCGCUGGUGGGCCGCUGCCGCCGUCGCCGCUGGGUACACGGCGGUCUCAUCGCCGUCGACCGAGAGAGAUUUGGAUAGAUCGUGAAAAGGUGGUCAAAAGAGAUUAAUUUCGUCACGAAUCGCCGGACAGCCGCCGGAAUGCUGCCGGAAAGUCGCCGGACUACUGUCGCCGCUGCCGGGUAGAAUCUCCGGAAUCCGGCAGCUUCUUCACUCACGAGGUAUCGGGAUUCAAGGCGUGACUAUUGAGCAAGAUCCGAAGGGCAUGGAGAGUAUUUUAUUUUUAAUUAAUCUUUACUUAAACGUUGAACUCGUGUACGGACUUUUAUUUGAAACUCGGUCUUCACAAACGGACUUUUAUU